Nicotiana attenuata is the source of this 306-nucleotide non-coding RNA. It matches the Rfam family "Plant signal recognition particle RNA". NCBI's taxonomy places the organism in Eukaryota, Viridiplantae, Streptophyta, Magnoliopsida, Solanales, Solanaceae. The record is from Rfam.
GCCGAGCCUGGUAACGUGGGCUUGUAACCUUAGUGGGGGCAUUGAAAUGGUGGAAUGUUUUGGCUGACUCAGAAGGUAGGACUUUGUGGGCUAUAUUCUGGACUGCCCUGUCCAAGCAUAGAGUUGGGCUAUGUAGCCCAAGUGAAGACAUGGGUCGCUUAGCUUCUAAAGAGGGGCGGAUCGCGUGAGGCUGGUUUCACAGAGCAACGAACAGCUCCCGGCACUAUUCAGUGGAAGGUUAACGGGCCCGUGUUUGCAAAGUCCAACAAAAGCCUGAUGUGCUGCUCCAAUUAAACCACCAUUUUU